Molecule: ribosomal RNA, 785 nt
Filed under: Caneorhinus sp. MSL2007
Lineage: Eukaryota; Metazoa; Arthropoda; Insecta; Coleoptera; Curculionidae
Description: partial 16S ribosomal RNA
Rfam family: Bacterial large subunit ribosomal RNA (bases 1-570)
Source: RNAcentral
UUUGAUUUAAGGUCUGACCUGCCCAAUGAGUUUUUGAAUGGCCGCGGUAUUUUGACCGUGCAAAGGUAGCAUAAUCAUUAGUUUUUUAAUUGAAAGCUGGAAUGAAGGGUUGGAUGAGAAAAUAACUGUCUCUAUUUAAAUUUUUUAGAAUUUUAUUUUUAAGUAAAAAAGCUUAAAUUUUGUUAGAAGACGAGAAGACCCUAUAGAGUUUUAUUAAUUUUUUUUUAUUGGAUUUUUAGUAUUUAAUUUUUCUUAAGAAAAAUUAAUUUGAUUGGGGUGAUAGAAAAAUUUGAUAAACUUUUUUUUUAUUUAUACAUUUAUUUAUGAGUAUUUGAUCCUUUUUAUAAAGAUUAGAAGAUAAAAUUACCUUAGGGAUAACAGCGUAAUUUUCUUAGAGAGUUCAAAUCGAAAAGAAAGAUUGCGACCUCGAUGUUGGAUUAAAAUAAAAUUUUGGUGUAGAAGCUAAAGUAUUUAGGUCUGUUCGACCUUUAAAAUUUUACAUGAUCUGAGUUUAAACCGGUGUGAGCCAGGUUGGUUUCUAUCUCUAUUGAAAAUAAAUAUCUUAGUACGAAAGGACCAGAUAUUUAAUUUAAAAUUUUAUUAUAGAAUAAUAUUGUUAUUUUGGCAGAUUAGUGCAAUAGAUUUAGAAUCUUUUUAUGUAAAUUAUUUUACAAAUAAUACUUGAUACUAAAGGAUAUAAUUUUGAUGGUUUUUUCUAGUUUAAUUUUAUUGGUUUGUGUUUUGGUAGGAUUAGCCUUUUUAACUUUAAUAGAGCGAAAAGUUUU